CCUACGGGAGGCAGCAGUGAGGAAUAUUGGUCAAUGGGCGGAAGCCUGAACCAGCCAAGUAGCGUGCAGGAAGACGGCUCUAUGAGUUGUAAACUGCGUUUGUACGAGGGUAAACGCAGAUACGCGUAUCUGUCUGAAAGGAUCGUACGAAUAAGGAUCGGCUAACUCCGUUCCAGCAGCCGCGGUAAUACGGAGGAUUCAAGCGUUGUCCGGAUUUAUUGGGUUUAAAGGGUGCGUAGGCGGUCGGAUAAGUUAGAGGUGAAAUCCCGAGGCUCAACUUCGGAAUUGCCUCUGAUACUGUUCGGCUAGAGAGUAGUUGAGGUAGGCGGAAUGUAUGGUGUAGCGGUGAAAUGCUUAGAGAUCAUACAGAACACCGAUUGCGAAGGCAGCUUACCAAGCUACUUCUGACGUUGAGGCACGAAAGCGUGGGGAGCAAACAGGAUUAGAUACCCUUGUAGUC
RNAcentral lists this ribosomal RNA (460 nucleotides) under uncultured bacterium. RNAcentral describes it as "partial 16S ribosomal RNA". It matches the Rfam family "Bacterial small subunit ribosomal RNA", at positions 338 to 795 of the family's 1533-position model. The record is from RNAcentral.